GUGAAUGAAUGAUGAUAGGAUUUUCAUUUUUGGGUGAACUAUUCCUUUAACAGUGAAAGCUAAAACAUCCGACUGAUCCAGACACUGAAGAAAUUGGUGUGACUGCAAUCUGGCCAAAAUGAUAGAAAUAUAAUGGCGUAACAGUGAAAGCUAAAACAUCAGUCUGAUCCAGACACUGAAGAAAUUGAUGUGACUGCAAUCUGGCCAAAAUUAUACAACUAUAUUGAAGUAGCCUACUGUAAUGAAGCUGCAGAACGACACAGAGACUCUGAGGACAUCAACACAGAAAAUGAAGGCUCCAAAGAGAUGUCUGUCCAGAUGAGGCUGCAUCAACGUUACCUUUGCUGACAAGUAUAUGCUUUACAAUGUAAAACCUAACAGUUAACUUAACUCAAACCAUUUAAGGAAACAGGUUGCUUUAAACCAUUUAAGUCUUAAAACGCAUACAUUUGAGUACUGUGAACUUGAGUCAUAUGCAAUUAUGCACUUAUAUUUAAGUAGUGUGAACUUAAAGAGCACCUAUUAUGGGAUACACGUUUUUAAACAUCCUUUUGUGUGUAAGUGUGCAUUAGUACAUGCUAACGAUAUUCAAAAAGUACAUACCUCAAAGAAAACGAUGACGCGAGUUAUCGUCUCUAACGUUCGAGGACUACAAAAAACACUCGGAUUGUAGGCAACAGUUUACUUCCUGGGAUUAGUGACGUAGAUAAGACCAACAUUAUCAUAGUUCAGCCCUCUCUGCUUUGCUUGGGUACGCCCUCAAAGACGAGGGUGGGGUGGGGAGCGCCGAGUCAGAAGAGAGCUAAAAUGGCGGAGGUUGGGAGUCCCUGCUUUGACUCUGUUUGCAAACUCUUGUUUCAUUGUUUAAGCGAUUAAAUCUCUCGAGUAGACGCUGUCUCUUUAGAUGCGAGGGCAAAAUAGCACUUUAUGGACUUCCACAGAGGACAUCAUGUUUAAUACGGUUCCGGAAAAAUCCAGUCAGAAGUUGUUCACGGAGUUUUCACAAUAACUGCUUCUCAUGAACCGAAGCUGGAUUUGCGCGACGUCUCCUCUUGAAAGUUGGAUUACUGUGCACUUCUGGAUCACAGACUGUAAGUAUUCAUGUUUAUUAUUUGCCUUUUACUGUACAUUACGUAACCGGUAACCGGAGAUUAACAUAAUGUGCGUGUAGAGCUAAGCUUGCAAGCUAAUUGUUUUGUGUUGUAAUACUGUAUUUCAUAAACAACGUACCAUAUUUACACACGUGUAUGUUGAAUUAUGC
Non-coding RNA from Paramisgurnus dabryanus, 1261 nucleotides. Lineage: Eukaryota; Metazoa; Chordata; Actinopteri; Cypriniformes; Cobitidae. The record is from RefSeq and is a predicted model, not a curated record.